CUACACAGCAAAAACUGGAGUGUUAAAAUUUCAGGGUUAAAGAUGUUAGAGUUGAUUUCCACUCUCAAAGUGUCAUAUUAACACAUUCUGAUUCAAAUAGUAUUCAGUGUUGGAGUUAUUAAACAGUGUUAUUCAAGUCCAAGCAAAUGAACUCUGAAGAGAGUUAUUUAACUUGGUAGGCCCCUGGGCUUCUGCCCAGGUAAACCCGUGGAUCAAUUAAUAGUUUGCUCUGCCGGGCCGAUUUUCCAUGUGCUUCUGCUGGUUACACCGUGGUGGAUGCCUGCCGUGCUGCUUGGAGUAUUUUACACAAACGGUAAGUUAUUCAAACUUAUAUAAAAUUCACAGUAUUCUAUCGGCGCAGUGAGGUUUUCUUGAUGUUUCUUGGUGUUCGGUUGCUGAAAACGAGCUUUAAUAGAGGAGGAGAUGUGUCGAAAAUUCUAUUUAGCCUCCAAUGCUAAUGUUGCAGUCUUUUUACUCGUAAGUGACGGUAGACACUGCACGUGGAAGCGCCGCGCCAAGUUCAGCUUUUCCCCUGUUCACACAGACACGUCUUUCUCCACGCCAGUUCAUGAGCGUUUUUGCUUCUCUGUUUAUUCAGAGUAAUUUUUUCACAAUUGAUAAGUAAAUAACAUCCCAAAAUAAUUGAAGAGAGCUUGUUUUAGUCACUCCUGCUUUUACUUUGACAUCGUUCAUCGCUGACUUGUCUCUAAUCUGUCUCUCUCUCUGUCUCACUCUCUUCUCCCUUUGAGACACCCGCCCCAAACAUAGUCAGUUAGGCUGUCCCCUCCUUUGCUAUGUGUUCAUUUUCAUCUCUAUUGUCUCUUUUCAUACACAAAUCUGAUCGCAUUUGUCAAUCGCAGUAUUUUAUUUUGGAGAAUAGCUUUUAUCUUCAAAAUUGCCUGGAUUGUCUUGUGUGUCUUGGUGUAACUUCCUGCGGAACAUGCGUGGGCCACGCAAAAAAUAGACCAGAUACCGAAACAAUCGCUUCGUAGCACUCCGUGUCUGGUGUAAACUACACCAUAGAUUAACGUGUAUUUUGUAUUGUGUUAUGUAUCAAUUGGACUCCUGCAUGGACAGACACAGGUUUAUUUGAUAACAUUAAAUGUUAUUGCAGUGAAAUUCAAACGCAUGGUCAGUAUUAAUCACCAUGUACGGUAUAUGUCAGUGUUUUAAUCAUUUGUGCUUGAAUUGCUCUAAAUGUCAAAUACUAUGCCAUCUUUGUUAUUAUUUUAUCCCAGUAAAAUGCUGGUUCAGGUUCGAUACUGCCAACAGCAGAAGUAUGUGAAGUUGGAAGAGGUUGAUGGGCGUUUUGAGUUUAUGCAGUUUCAUGAAAAAGAAUUUUCUGAUUACUCCUUGUCUUCUGCAUCUGAUUGUUCUGACUCAAGCUUCAGCUCAAAUGCAAGUACAUCAACUAUACUUCUAGAUGAGGGUCCCAGGAAGAAAACAAGAGUUGAGGGUACUGUUGAUGCAGCAUCUGCUAAAAAGUUAAUUGAAGGUGUACUUGGAACCAAUUCAGGUGGUGAAGAGGUUCUCCAGGAAUAUCACACAACACAAACUCUGACAGAUGCUACCAGAAGAAAAAUGGUCAAUAUAAUAGUGGCUCACAUGAUUGAUUGCCAUGGGCACCUCCCCACCAAAGCUGUUAGAGAACAGUACGCGCUAGGGGUAGUGACAUUGUUCCCAUCCCUGAAAGACCCAUACUCCAAGAAAGGCUAUGAACACUUCUAUGAUGCUGCAAGCAGCACUGGAUACAUUUCUUGGCGUUUGAAAACGAUACAGAGAAAGACUAGAAGAGGAUCUGCACCACCAAGUAGCUCCACUGGCUUUACUCAAGGAGCACCUAUGCUUUUAUGUUUGUGUGUUUUUCUUCAGGGGGCCCAAAUUACCAAAGGCCCAUUAAUGUCGACAUGCAGCUUGAUGGAGAUGCUUGCCAGGAGGCCAUCUCUUUGCUGAAACAUACAUCCGACACUUCCUUGAUUUUCCAGAAGAUGAGAGAGACCUUUCAGCAUCGUCAGAAGGUCAUCAAUGAUCCUGACAAAAGUCUUGAUAUCCUGUCUAUCUUCCCAAGAUUCUUGGAUACAAGAGGAUUGGUGAAUCAAGACUUCACUCUCCUGUUUGAUGAUGAGAUAUCUACCAGGCUGCUUCAGAAAUGGGAUCCAAUCUUUAGGUAUCAAAUCAUCAAAGAGGCCAAGCAGCUCACCUCAACAGUAGAGUUGCGUCAAUUGGUGCAGUCAGCAGAGAGUCCACCAGGAAGUGAUCUUGAUGAGGCAGCAACCUUUGACCAAGACAUGGCCUCCCUGUUGUUACUGUUACAUCUACUUCCGCCACCCCCAGGAGGACCAAAGUAUCAAAAAAUCAGCGCCUCUGAUGCUGUUGAGAGACUUGUAGUCUUUCAUAAGUCUUGCUGCAGUUUGGAAGAGCAUCUCCAGAAUCAGCAGAGUCAGCAGCCAUACCUCCUGGCUGUUGGGCGCCAGAAGAGGAAGGUCGACAGCUUCUAUGUUGCCAUAGACAAGCGUCUCAUCCCCUGCCAGGCCAGCCGCUCCCUUGGGGCAUUUGAUGAGCUUUUUAAAGCUCAUUUUGUGUUCAAUGUGUCUUAUGAUGCUGCACUUGUGAAUUUCUACACAUUUCUGCAGACAACAGUAUACAAUAUUGAUAUGGGGAAAAUGAAGGAGUCCCCAAGAGUGCGUGACUUGAGAGCCAAAAUCCUUAACCAGGAAAUUCUUCUCACAACCUAAGUAAAAAUCAUUAAAAUGCUGACAUGUUUUUUGUGUAAGAGAGCUUAUCUCAGCAGUCAGCAGCUGAUUUCACAUUUAAGAGGUGAACAUGGUUAUUAUCCUGGACCUAAGUUUAAGUUGUGUUGUUGGCAGCCAGGCUGCAGGCUUCAGUUCCAAACUUAUGCAGGCUUUAGGAAGCACCUCAGUUUUCACAGCAAUGUUGACCACAAUGAUCGAACUUCAGCCAUUGCUUCUUUUUCUAAUGACACAGUUUCACCUGCUUUGGAGGACCAGUUUAAUUCCUCUUAUCUUCCUCACAGUUCUCCCAGUGUUCUUCCAGAGUCUAGUUCUUCCAGUGUUCCAGUGAGCAUUGAUUCAGUACUUACAAGGGAUUCAUCCAAAGAAAUCUGUGCAUCCAUUGUGGCCAAACUGCAGGGUAGUGGCCUUUCUAACAGUUUAGUAUCCUCACUUGUAGGCGAUUUGGAGGAAUUAACAAGUGAGCUUCGCUCAGAAGCAAAGCAGGCCAUUCUUUCUGCGUUACCCACAAAGGACUCCAGCAUAUCUUUAAUAAAUGAAUGUUUUGAAAAUUUUGAAAACCCUUUCACCAAUCUGAACACAGAAUGGAAACGAAAUAAAUACUUCAAUCUAAAAUGGGGAGUUGUAGAACCUAGAGAAAUAACACUUGGAGUGAGGUAUGACAUCAGGCGAAAUCAGAAGUUUGGUACUUAUGAUCAAGUACCUGUGAAGGAUACUUUUAUAUAUGUACCUAUUUUGGAGUCUUUGAAGUUCAUGUUUAGAAAUCCAGAGAUUUGUGUUUUCCUGCAGAGAGAGUGUAGCUCAGAGCCUGAUGCUUAUCAUGACUUUUGUGAUGGAAGUUACUUUAAAACUCACCCUUUGUUUUCAGCCAAAAGGCAUGCAUUACAAAUUCAGCUAUACUAUGAUGACUUUGAAACAGCCAAUCCUCUUGGCUCUAAACGCGGAAUUCACAAAAUUGGCUGUAUUUAUUUUGUUAUAAGAAACUUGCCCCCAAAAUUUAAUUCCAUUUUGAUGAACAUUCAUUUAGUGUCACUUUUCCACACACCAGAUCUGCAAAAGUAUGGUUUUGAUGUUAUACUGGAACCACUGAUAAAUGAUGUCAAAAAACUGGAAAGCCAAGGGCUAAGUCUUCCAUUUUCUGAUGAGCAGGUAUAUGGCACAAUAUCACAGAUCACUGGAGAUAACCUAGGGAUGCACUCAAUUCUUGGUUUUAAUGAGUCGUUCAGUAGCCGUCAUUUCUGUCGCCUUUGUUUGAUUGAGAAGAAUGAUUGUCAAAUGGUGUACAGUGAGGAUGAUCCUAAAAUUAUUCUUCGUGGGAAAGAUUUGUUUGACAUACAUUGCCAGUCUCUUCGGGAAGAUCCUAAAUUGAAGUCACUGUAUGGGUUGAAAAGAAAUUCUGCACUCAAUUCAUUGCAGUAUUACCAUAUUUGCAAUAACUACUCAUUUGAUAUAAUGCAUGACCUUCUUGAAGGUGUGGCUCAGUAUGAGGUCAAAUUGCUUUUUGAGUAUCUUACGCAACACUUCAUAUCAGAACAGAACUUGCUUUCUAGGAUUUAUGGUUUUGACUAUGGAUUUUUAGAAAGAAAAAACCGGCCCACUAAAAUCAUAUUGGACAGUGCUGGCAAUAGCAUUGGUUUGAACUCUAUCCAGACAUUCUGUCUUGUGAAAAACAUCCCACUUUUGUUUGGUGACAUUAUUCCUGCAGGGAACAGACACUGGAAUUUGUUAUUGUUGUUACUUCAAAUAAUGAACAUUGUUUUUUCACCUUGUCUCACUCUGGGAAUGACUAUAUAUUUGAAGAAUUUGAUUAUUGACCACCACAAACUAUUUAAGCACACGUAUCCACACAGAAACUUGAUUCCUAAGCAUCAUUUUAUGAUUCAUUACCCAUCCUGUAUUCGAAAAAUUGGCCCUUUACUGUAUAUGUGGAGUAUGAGGUUUGAAGCUAAGCACAAGUUGUUCAAAGAUUAUUUCAAAAAUUUCAAAAACCUCACCAAAUCGCUUGCUAAACGGCAUCAGAUGGCCAUUGCUUAUCACUGGGAAACCUUUUCUCUUAAACAGAAGGAGUUUGGGCCAAUUAAAUCAUUUUCUUUAAGAGGUGAAAGUGUGGUCAAUAGUGAAAUGCUAUUAUCAAAAGAUGUUUUCUCAACAAGUUGGGUUAAAAUUGAUGGUGUAGAGUACAAAGCUGGACUCGUUGUUUGCAGUACAAUGGAGGAAGACAUGCCAGUCUUUUGUCAAAUAAUUGAUACACUUAUGGUUGAAAAUGACAUUUUUUUGUUGACACACAAACUCUUUACUGAAAACUUUGAUGAACAUCACCAUGCAUUCAAAGUAGUACAAACUGAAGAACGGUGUGUCAUAAAAAUAACUGAACUCAAAUGUCACAGACCAUUUGAUAUUCAAAACUCAUACAGUGCUGCAGAUGAAAGUUUGUACAUUAUAUCUUCAUUUAUUAUGUUUUGAUUCACUUUCUGGGAAAAAGAAGCAUGAUAAUAAAUGUUUUUGGACAAUGUACAGUUUUCUUGAAAUUAUUCUCAUGAUUGUACUUGUUGUCGUUAAAAAGUUAUGUUAAUCUAUUACAUAAAUAGUUCUUUUAGGGAUUAAAACUACCUUAAUAAAAGAUUAAAGAGUUAAAGUAGUGUUAUUUUUCAAUCUGUGUAGUGUUAAUUUAACCCAGUUUGGUGAGUUAAAAAAUUAACUCAGACAUGGUGUUAAUAAUAAUUUGCUCAGUGUUAAUUUAACCCGGUUUUAAGAGUUAAAAAUUAACUCAGACAUGGUGUUAAUAAUAAUUUGCUCAGUGUUAAUUUAACCCGGUUUUAAGAGUUAAAAAUUAACUCAGACAUGGUGUUAAUAAUAAUUUGCUCAGUGUUAAUUUAACCCAGUUUUAAGAGUUAAAGAAGGAACUCUGACAAAGUGUUAAAUAAUUAACUAUUUUGAAAAUGUUAAUUCAACUCUGUAGAGUGUGGAGCUAUAUAAACCCUGAAAAAAUGUUAAAAUCAACUCUGUGGGAGUUGAUUCAACACUACAGUUUUUGCUGUGUA
Long non-coding RNA from Astatotilapia calliptera (eastern happy), 5791 nucleotides. NCBI's taxonomy places the organism in Eukaryota, Metazoa, Chordata, Actinopteri, Cichliformes, Cichlidae. The record is from Ensembl.